Molecule: long non-coding RNA, 241 nt
Filed under: Helianthus annuus (common sunflower)
Lineage: Eukaryota; Viridiplantae; Streptophyta; Magnoliopsida; Asterales; Asteraceae
Description: hypothetical non coding rna
Source: RNAcentral
GGAGAGCAAAAGAGGGUUUCUCUUUGAAACCCUAAACUCACGAAAUUUCAGUAAAUCGAAGGGAAAUCGAGCUAGAAAAUUUGGGGCUUUUACUAAAAUUGUGAUCACCAAGCUUAGAGAAUCAAGAGGUGUACCUUAUAUGCUUGCGAAGUUUGACUCUGACAAGCUAGGUAGGAGCUUGGAAAUGAACGGGUCAAAUGGAUACAAGUUCAAGUAUGAAGCUCGCAAAGAUGCAAGGUAA